This is a long non-coding RNA of Manihot esculenta (cassava), 1514 nucleotides long. RefSeq lists it as uncharacterized. The record is from RefSeq and is a predicted model, not a curated record. The transcript has 3 exons. Lineage: Eukaryota; Viridiplantae; Streptophyta; Magnoliopsida; Malpighiales; Euphorbiaceae.
UUUUCUUCUUUUCUUUCCCUUUCUUCUCUUUUACCCAUUUCUCUCUCUCUUCGAUUUCUCCCUCUCCCAACCACCAUUUCAAGCAAGAUUGGUCUCUUUAAAUUCUUCUCCUUACGAGCUUCACAUAGAUACCAAGAUUUUCUGCUAUCAUCACUCAGUUUGCACGAAUCAAAUAUCCAAAGUUUUUGACCCUUUAACCUUCUCUCUAAGAUUUAUCCCAUACCAGACAUCCUAUUGAAAAUCUGAAGCCACUAACAUGUUAUACUCGUUGAGAGCUUCGUGUAGACACCAAUCUCAUAAUUUUUCGACAUCAAAAAAUUUAGAGACCCAAAAACUUAAUGGUACCUUCGUUUUGGAGGAAUUCUUUCGGCGCUCGAGAUUGCAAUUUUAGUCCAAACGUGUUUGCUCUGGAACUGACCUCCAAAAGAGGUUAAAUUUUGAGUUGAUGUAAUUGGAGACUUACUACGAGCUUUGGGCGCCUUAUGCCGGCCCAAGUCAUAGUGUCGGUUCGGUCCACGAAGUUGGAUCGUGACAGCAGACCUCUUCAAAGCUUGUGCCAUAAACGAGAGUUAAAUAUAAACACUAUCGAUCUGAGUGACCAGAGGAACUCACCGCGAUAUAAAUCAGAUGAGCCAAGUAUGACCUAAUGAGACUAGAGUAGGAUAUCGGCUUCUUAUGUAUUGGUCGUCCCCUUGGUAUAUCUCCGAGGUCUUAAAUGCGCGUGCAAAAAAAAAAAAAGACUGAUGUGACACUCAUUAUAAACAGGGUAUGGACUAGUAACUCAUAUUUAUUAGCCAACCGCCUAUUAUUAAUGAGCGCCUGACACACUUGCAAGAGAACAUCUCCGUCCAGUCCGAUAGGAUAUGACAUAAGGGGUCAGAAUAAUCAGAGGUAUAUAUACCACUGAUAUAACCCAAAAGAGGGCAAACUCUAUCUCUCUCUCACACCCUCGCACAUACCCUCAGAUAUAUCAUCUCUCUUUUCUCUUGACUACUUUAUUUUUAUUUCUCUUUGCAUCUCUUUCCAUUAUUGCAUCAUUUUAAAAGUUCUAGAUCUGACUUGAACAUCGGAAGGUUUCUACUGGAAUAUAUCCAGUAAACCCUUGAUCACUUUUUCUUAUUUUGCAGGCUCCACCUUUUUCUCUUAAAAUCGGGCAUUGAGGGACUUAUGUGAAGAAUCUAAGAUAUUCACUCUCCAUAAAAUCAUGCAAAGUUCAUUGAUAUACUCAUUGAAUCAGACUACAGUCUAGGUGUCUGUAUUUGGUGAUCUCAUCAAAUCUCAAUUUAUAUAUAUAUAUAUAUAUAUAUACGUGUGGUCAUCGGUGAGAACUUUAGGACUACUUGCAUUAUUCUUGCAAUUCAAUGCUUGGUGGUGAAUAAUGAAACCCAUUUGUAAAGCUCCAUGAAACAUUUUGGUAACAAGUUACACGUAGGCACUUGCCUGUAUAUUGUCUAUUGGAGAUUAAAAAAUCAGUAUAUUAUUUGUUAUUUUUUCAUUUAACAGAAUUAGGUCUU